Long non-coding RNA from Vicia villosa (hairy vetch), 1890 nucleotides. RefSeq lists it as uncharacterized. Lineage: Eukaryota; Viridiplantae; Streptophyta; Magnoliopsida; Fabales; Fabaceae. The transcript is spliced from 4 exons. The record is from RefSeq and is a predicted model, not a curated record.
CUAUCAUAUAAGAAAAGUCUACCAUUUGGGACUUUCUUAGGCUAUCCACAUCAGCAACUCUUCUAUGGUUGAUCCACAUCAGCAUCCUCAAAAUUAACUUCUUCUUCCACUAUGAUUCGACAGUUACAUCCUCCUGUUUUUCAAUUUCCACUAUCCUCAUAACUACCCUUAAACCCCAUCCUCUUUCACGGUUACGAAACUUUCCAUCUUCCCCUUCCAUUCUUCUUCUACAGCGGUUUCACAAAACCCUUUCACUUCCAAAUAGUUUCUAAUUUCUCUGUAACAUGGAUUCGUUAAACUAUCUAAUGCUAUGUAAUCACGGUUUGUGGUGGCCUUCCUCCCAGCGAUGGAGAAACUCGAGUGCAUUUUCCGGUGAAUGGAGUUCAGCGCGACUGCGAUUUACUCUGAUGUUUCAGUGAUUAUAGUUACCCAUUGACAGUGGAUAAUUCUUCAAAACAUUUUGUCCUUGAUGGAAGUUUUGUGGGUGUUGCAUUUGCUAAACAUUUGAUUCACAUAUAUGCCUUCAAUGGAUCGAUUGAUCGAAUGAGCUUGCCCAACGAGGUCUGUUUUAUAACUAUGUUAGCAACAUCUUUUGUUUCUCUUUUGAGGUAAGCACUAAGAAUCCCCAAAAUAUAUUUGGUUUUGAAUUUUGAAUAAUUUUCAUAUUUGCGCGUAGUCUAUUGGUACAUUUUAUGUUGCGGCUAGAUAUGAAAGUGCAAUGCCUCUGCCACCUUCUGUUAUCAUCUGCGGAACAGGCUAGAUGGUAAGGUUUGAUUUUGAUUUAGUUUUUAAAGUAUCAGGUUUCAUGGUGUUGGCUCACGCGGAAGGGGAAAGAUCCAUCACCGAUGCAAUUUCUGAUGAUGUGUCGGUGUUUGUUAUUACUUUGUAUGAUUUGUUAAAUUUUGUUUGGAUAAGUUGUAACCUGAUUUUGACGUGGGUUUAUGCAGGUUCGAUGAUGAAGCACAAGUUUUCUUGGCCAUAAAAAAUAAAGGAUGGCAAUGAGAUAGAUUGAUCGGUUCUUUGUACUAUUUUGAUUUUGUUUAUGCUUUGAAUUUCAGGUGGCGGUUCAUUCCAAUAUAGGUUUUUCCGAUUACGCUAACGGUUACCUAUAGUAUUUUGAUCAGGAACUCAUAUUUUAGUGACACUCAUAUUUAUAUAAUAUUUUUAGCAUAACUUCAGUCCUCAGAGUGAAUAGUUUGUCAGUUCGUUGAUCUUAUUUUCAGCUUUGCAUCUCCUGAAGAUACGACACUCUGCAUAUUAUGUUUCUCUAAUUGAGAUUUGAGCAUGUGUCAUUUGGAUUAUCUUAUUAUGUUAUUAAUUUAUUUGUCUUCAACAUGCAGGAGCUAGAGAAUAUGUUGCCAUGCAUACCAAUAACUGAACCUAAAUAUCAGCUACGUCUGAAAUAUGUAAUGCUUUCUAACUCUUUUGUUAAGUUCGAACGCAUUAGGUUGUUAAUCUGGGUUAGCUGCACCUAGCGUCGAACCCCCUAAAAUGCUAUAGCGGCGGAUAGCGGGAUGACCGCCAUUGUGAAGACUAAAAAACAAUGUAUGUGGAAAGCUGCCGGAGCACUCCAUGUCUCAGGAAACUGCUGCAGUGGUAAUGUCUGGAAUCAGUGACUGUGUUGGGUCAAAGAACUAAGCCUGAAUCAUAGCAUGAUAUUUCUGGAUCUUGAUUGUUACUAUCACAUAUUGCAGAAAGGACCUUCUGUUGCUGAUACUGUCAUAGGAGAGGGGAACACAACAAUAUGGAAGAUGUGUGGUCUUGACAAGAGUACAUGCUUAACUGUGUUGUUUGAUCUUUCAUCAAGUGAUCGUUCAAAUACUCCAAGUGCUGUCAACCCACAAUUGUACCUGUAGUUCCUUACAAGUUACCAGGGCGCAAAUGGUCAAU